UACGUAGGGUGCAAGCGUUGUCCGGAUUUAUUGGGCGUAAAGAGCUCGUAGGCGGUCUGUCGCGUCGGAUGUGAAAACCCAGGGCUCAACCCUGGGCCUGCAUUCGAUACGGGCAGACUAGAGUGUGGCAGGGGAGACUGGAAUUCCUGGUGUAGCGGUGAAAUGCGCAGAUAUCAGGAAGAACACCGGUGGCGAAGGCGGGUCUCUGGGCCAAUACUGACGCUGAGGAGCGAAAGCGUGGGGAGCGAACAGG
RNAcentral lists this ribosomal RNA (253 nucleotides) under uncultured bacterium. RNAcentral describes it as "partial 16S ribosomal RNA". It matches the Rfam family "Bacterial small subunit ribosomal RNA", at positions 524 to 776 of the family's 1533-position model. The record is from RNAcentral.